Molecule: ribosomal RNA, 465 nt
Filed under: Vreelandella stevensii
Lineage: Bacteria; Pseudomonadati; Pseudomonadota; Gammaproteobacteria; Oceanospirillales; Halomonadaceae
Description: partial 16S ribosomal RNA
Rfam family: Bacterial small subunit ribosomal RNA
Source: RNAcentral
CCUACGGGUGGCUGCAGUGGGGAAUAUUGGACAAUGGGGGGAACCCUGAUCCAGCCAUGCCGCGUGUGUGAAGAAGGCCCUCGGGUUGUAAAGCACUUUCAGUGAGGAAGAACGCCUGGUGGUUAAUACCCAUCAGGAAAGACAUCACUCACAGAAGAAGCACCGGCUAACUCCGUGCCAGCAGCCGCGGUAAUACGGAGGGUGCGAGCGUUAAUCGGAAUUACUGGGCGUAAAGCGCGCGUAGGUGGCUUGAUAAGCCGGUUGUGAAAGCCCCGGGCUCAACCUGGGAACGGCAUCCGGAACUGUCAAGCUAGAGUGCAGGAGAGGAAGGUAGAAUUCCCGGUGUAGCGGUGAAAUGCGUAGAGAUCGGGAGGAAUACCAGUGGCGAAGGAGGCCUUCUGGACUGACACUGACACUGAGGUGCGAAAGCGUGGGUAGCAAACAGGAUUAGAUACCCCUGUAGUC